UACCUCAGUAACGGCGAGUGAAGCGGUAACAGCUCAAAUUUGAAAUCUGGCUCUUUCAGGGUCCGAGUUGUAAUUUGUAGAAGAUGCUUCAGGUGUGGCUCCGGUCUAAGUUCCUUGGAACAGGACGUCAUAGAGGGUGAGAAUCCCGUAUGUGACUGGUUGCCUUCGCCUAUGUGAAGCUCUUUCGACGAGUCGAGUUGUUUGGGAAUGCAGCUCUAAAUGGGAGGUAAAUUUCUUCUAAAGCUAAAUAUUGGCCAGAGACCGAUAGCGCACAAGUAGAGUGAUCGAAAGAUGAAAAGCACUUUGGAAAGAGAGUUAAACAGUACGUGAAAUUGUUGAAAGGGAAGCGCUUGCAACCAGACUUGCCUGCCGUCGAUCAUCCUCCGUUCUCGGGGGUGCACUCGGCGGUGGUCAGGCCAGCAUCGGUUUCGGUGGUGGGAUAAAGACCUUGGGAAUGUAGCUCCUCUCGGGGAGUGUUAUAGCCCUCGGUGCAAUGCCGCCUACCGGGACCGAGGACCGCGCUUCGGCUAGGAUGCUGGCGUAAUGGUUGUAAGCGACCCGUCUUGAAACACGGACCAAGGAGUCUAACAUCUAUGCGAGUGUUUGGGUGUUAAACCCAUACGCGUAAUGAAAGUGAACGGAGGUGAGAACCCUUUAGGGUGCAUCAUCGACCGAUCCUGAUGUCUUCGGAUGGAUUUGAGUAAGAGCAUAGCUGUUGGGACCCGAAAGAUGGUGAACUAUGCCUAAAUAGGGUGAAGCCAGAGGAAACUCUGGUGGAGGCUCGCAGCGGUUCUGACGUGCAAAUCGAUCGUCAAAUUUGGGUAUAGGGGCGAAAGACUA
Molecule: ribosomal RNA, 840 nt
Filed under: Helotiales sp.
Lineage: Eukaryota; Fungi; Ascomycota; Leotiomycetes; Helotiales
Description: partial large subunit ribosomal RNA
Rfam family: Eukaryotic large subunit ribosomal RNA
Source: RNAcentral